RNAcentral lists this ribosomal RNA (305 nucleotides) under uncultured bacterium. RNAcentral describes it as "bacterial SSU rRNA". It matches the Rfam family "Bacterial small subunit ribosomal RNA", at positions 333 to 630 of the family's 1533-position model. The record is from RNAcentral.
UCUUCCCUACGGGGGGCAGCAGUGGGGAAUAUUGGGCAAUGGGCGCAAGCCUGACCCAGCAACGCCGCGUGAAUGACGAAGGCCUUCGGGUCGUAAAGUUCUUUCGACAGGGAAGAAAAUGCCUAUAAGUAACUGUGUAUGUAUUGACGGUACCUGUAUAAGCAGCCCCGGCUAACUCCGUGCCAGCAGCCGCGGUAAUACGGAGGGGGCGAGCGUUGUUCGGAGUGACUGGGCGUAAAGAGCACGUAGGCGGUGUUGUAAGUCAUUAGUCAAAGACUAGAGCUCAACUUUAGUAAGGCUAGUGA